This 323-nucleotide unclassified non-coding RNA is filed under the name uncultured fungus. Its description in RNAcentral is "partial contains small subunit ribosomal RNA, internal transcribed spacer 1, and 5.8S ribosomal RNA". The stretch from base 1 to 73 matches the Rfam family "Eukaryotic small subunit ribosomal RNA", at positions 1759 to 1831 of the family's 1831-position model. The record is from RNAcentral. Lineage: Eukaryota; Fungi.
GCAAACUUGGUCAUUUAGAGGAAGUAAAAGUCGUAACAAGGUUUCCGUAGGUGAACCUGCGGAAGGAUCAUUGCUGAGCGUGGUGUCCCUUGACGGGAGUACUCCUCCUCCAAGGGCACCUUUCUCACAAACCCAUGUGAACUCGUGAAUGUGACUGGGCCAACGCGUCCGCGCGUUUGGUUCCUUUUUUACAAUCACCCCAACAACUGUCUUCUCUGACUGAGAUAAAAGGAUCACGCCUAAAAACGCGAUCUGAAACAAGACAAACUAUCACAACUUUUAACAACGGAUAUCUUGGCUCGCGCAUCGAUGAAGAACGCAGC